Molecule: non-coding RNA, 7317 nt
Organism: Danio rerio (zebrafish)
Lineage: Eukaryota; Metazoa; Chordata; Actinopteri; Cypriniformes; Danionidae
Source: RefSeq, a predicted model, not a curated record
GCGCGCUUGAGGGGCUGCGGUCCCAUUGACUAUUCCGUCUCCCUGACAGCGGCAGCAUCAGCAGCAGCAGCGCGAGCACGGAAAAACAGAGCACCGUGCGGACUCCGCCUUUGCUCCCAUCAUCCCGCCUGAGAGCCCGAGCUCCGAGGCGGCUACAUCAACCGGCGCAAGACACCCCUCGUCGACUCGCACUUAUCCCGCGGAUCAGAUAUGGACUACCCUUAACUGGACCUGGAGGGGAGAGGCAGGCGGGCGGGCGGGGGGUGGGGGGGAGAGAGACAGGAGAAAAAGCCGUAUAGGAAGAGAAGCACAACCGUGGGUGCCCGCCGCAACGAUGAACGGUUCGCCACGCUCGCGACAACCGCAGAUAAGCCAUCGGACUAUGUCCUGAAUAGCGGUUUACAUAGCGGGGAUUGUGCAACGAUCAAACAGGGGUAAAAUAUGUCCGCCUCGGUGGGGCCCCGCGGCGGCCCUCGCCCACCCACAAAGCAGAACUCCAUGCCCGAUCUGCCGGACCUCAGUCACCUCACCGAGGAGGAGAGGAAGAUUAUCAUGGCUGUGAUGGCUCGGCAGAAGGAGGAAGAGGCGAAGGAUGAGGCCAUGCUCAAAGAGGAGAAGCCCAUACAAGCAAAAACAGUGAACCUGGUUGGGAACAAGAAACCACCUCAGCAGAACGACAUCAGUUUGCACCAGCAGUUUGCCAACUACAAGGAGCAGGUGAGGCGGACUGGCCCGGAGCCCCAGCAGAGGCAGCAGGGCCAACACAAGGAUGACGCCCCCACCUGUGGCAUCUGCCACAAGACCAAGUUUGCUGACGGCUGCGGAAACCUGUGCUCCUACUGCCAGACUAAGUUCUGUGCCCGGUGCGGAGGACGGGUCUCUCUGCGCUCCAAUAACAAGGAGGACAAAGUGGUAAUGUGGGUAUGUAACCAAUGCCGAAGGCAACAGGAUAUGCUCACAAAAUCAGGAGAUUGGUUUCCCAGUCAAGUGCCCAAGCCUGGAGAGCUGGGGUCGGCAGUGAGUGAACCAGCCAUGUGUGGAGACCCCUCUGGGGACAAGAAGAUGCGCUCUAGGUCUCAGAACCCUCUCGACUCCUCCAUUUCCACUGCCCAUAUUACCCAGACAUCUGCCCCAACCGACCCUAGAAAAUGUCCUUCUGCAGGCCCAGCUGAUACACCAUCAUCGCGCUCACGCAGUGAGCCUCCACAAGAUAGAAAAAAGCCACCAGCAGCCUCUGAUCAAAAUGGAAAGCCAGGGCCAAGAGGUGAGAGGCGGCAAAGGCUUUCCAAAAUCCAUUCCGAAGAGCGGGACACCGGAGAAAAUCGUAGAGAAAGUCGAAAACUGAUGAAAACUCGCUCUCAGGAGCAUGACAGUCCUGAGACAAGGAGGACAGAGGGGGAGCAGAAACCACCCAGGGAACAGUGCAGGACUGACCCAAACGCUCCACAUCACCCGGGGAAACUCCGGCCAACGGAGCCUGAUGGACGCUUGCACCCUAAAUCAAGGGAAGGGGGGGACAUGGUGCAAGACAACAGAGGUGCACGUAGAUGGGCAGAUGGGCGACAGGCCUCAUUGGAGGGCCCACAGCCAACCUAUGUGCCAGAGAGGACCGCGGGGGAAACAGGUUUGCAGGGUAUGCCUGCCAUGCAGGGUCCAACACCUAAAACCAACCACACCCCUCAGCCUCCUGCACCGGGGUUCAAACUGGGCCCUGCUAUGCCCACAGGUCCACCUGAGCUUAGGGAGCCUCAGGAAUGGGACAGGAAGUUGCAGCCGAGCCACCUGGACCCCGGCUCGGCUGCACUUUUGCGCAAAUCAAAACGGCAAAAAGCAGAGAGCAUGCUGCGCAAUGAUUCGCUCAGCUCUGACCAAUCAGAGUCUUUGCGACCACCCCCACCCCGCCCCUAUAAGAGCAAACGGGGUGGCAACAAAAGGCAGAUGUCCGUCAGCAGCUCAGAGGAAGAGGCCGGUUCCACACCAGAGUACACCAGCUGUGAAGAUGUGGAGAUCGAGAGUGUCAGUGAGAGAGGGGACUGGGAGUGCUGUCCACUGGACCCCACUGCGUGGCAUCAUCCGGUUACAUGGCAGCCCUCCAAAGAAGGUGAUCAUUUAAUUGGCCGAAUCACUUUGAGCAAGAGAACAGCCAUGCCAAAAGAGGCUGGGGCUCUGCUAGGGCUAAAGGUGGUCGGGGGGAAGGUUACAGAAACUGGGAGACUUGGGGCCUUCAUCACCAAAGUCAAGAAAGGAAGUCUAGCUGAUGUAGUGGGUCAUUUACGGGCUGGUGACGAGGUGCUUCAAUGGAAUGGUAAAUCAUUACCAGGAUUAACCAAGAAAGAAGUUUACAAUAUCAUCUUGAAUUCCCAAGCAGAACCACAAGUUGAAUUAAUAGUAUCAAGGCCAAUUGGUGAUAUACCAAGAAUACCAGAAACCUCACAUCCUCCAUUAGAAUCAACUGGUUCAAGUUCCUUCGAGUCUCAAAAGAUGGAAAGACCCUCUAUAUCUGUCCUGUCCCCAUCCAGUCCCAGUGGUCUUCGAGAUGCUCCUCAGCUUCUGCCAGGACAGCUGUCGGUGAAAAUGUGGUAUGAUAAGGUCGGCCAUCAGCUGAUAGUCAACGUACUGCAGGCUAAAGAUCUGCCACCUAGAUCAGAUACACGACCCAGAAACCCCUACGUUAAAAUGUACUUCCUGCCUGAUAGAAGUGAUAAGAGCAAGAGAAGGACGAAGACAGUGAAGAAAAGUCUGGAGCCCAAGUGGAACCAGACGUUUGUGUACUCUCAUGUCCAUCGACGGGACUUCAGAGAGCACAUGCUGGAGAUUACAGUGUGGGACCAACCCAGAAUACAGGAGGAGGAGAGCGACUUUCUGGGAGAAAUCCUCAUUGAGCUGGAGACUGCCCUGUUGGAUGAUAAACCUCAUUGGUACAAGCUGCAGACCCAUGACGUGUCCUCCAUCCCACUGCCACAUCCGUCGCCAUUCCUGCCCCGCAGACACGGACACACAGAGACACCCACCAAAAAACUGCAGCGCUCGCAGCGUAUUACAGAAACUGAUUAUGAUGAUACUAUUGGCGUAGUCGCCACAGCUACAGAAAACCGAUCCAGAGAAAGAGAACGAGAGCGAGACAGAGACCGAGCAACGACAUUAGAGGUUCCUGACCAGCAGAGACCAACUCAGUAUCGCUCUCGAUCCGUGUCUCCACACCGAGACGAGGACAGGGGAAGAUCCCGACCUCCAAAUGUCCCAGCACAGAGGAGUCUGGAUGAAGUCCAGCACACUCGAAGAUCCCGUUCCCCAACCCGAUACCACGACCGCAACCGUCUUCAAGAAAGAGACUACAUAGACGACAGUGAGGUCAUCUUGAUACACAGAUCAAUGCGGGGUAGAAGCGCAGAGUGUCUGCACACCCAAAGGAGUUCAUCUAAGUACAGUAGCACUCUGCCUCCCAAGAUGCCUUUAUUAGUUAAUGGAAUUCAUAAGGAUAUUUACAGCUCAACACUUCCUGCAUGCCUUAAGUCAAAGUCACGGCUGUCAGUAGUCACUGCCACUCAUCGUACAGUUACACGUCGAGUUCUUAGGUUCACAGACACGAUCUGCAUUAGUGAUCUGCAGCCCUCUCUUGACAGGGUUAGAAGUGCUAGUACCAACUGUCUGAGACCAGAUUCUAAUUCCAAUUCACCUGAUCGAGAAAGGAGCACGCAGUCUCUGCCCCGUACCAGACCCAUGAGCCCCAGGAUCCUAAUUCAGCAUGCCUCCCCAGAAGACGACAGCUGGGUUUUGGAGGCAAUGUUCCCCGCUCAGGAGACACUGCACCACCUCAGUGCAAAGCCAGACCCACAGAGGCAGUCAAGAGCUCUGGACAGGCCGAGCUGUCAGAAACUUGGCAGGAAAAUGUCUGACAGCGAGCGGGUGCAACCACACUCCAGCCCCGCAUUCUCAUCAUCAACAGCAGCAAAUUCAUCCGCACGCAAGGUCAGACAGCUUCCCCAAGUCCCCGCCAAAAGCAGCAGUGUAGAACAAGCUCUUGCGUCAGAGGAGCGAACGCGGCAAAUGAAAGUACGAACCUUUCGAACACCAGCUCCCUCCAGUACCAGCCAGGACCUGGAGAGGGCGCUCAAGAAUAAACGAGAGCUUUAUAAGGAGCAGCGAAGGAGUUGUGACAAUGUGUCCCAUAAGUCCUCAGACAGUGAUGUCAGUGACGUGUCAGCCAUCUCUCGUGCCAGCAGUGCCUCGCGGAUCAGUAGCACCAGCUACAUGUCCAUUCAAUCAGAACGACCCAGGGGUCGCUUUAGCCGUCAUAUUCGUCCAUCCAGCCGCAGCAUGCUGAAGAGUACGAGUGUCAGUGGGGAAAUCUAUACUCUGGAGCGUACGGAUGGCAGCCAGUCAGAUACUGCUCUGGGAACACUGGGAUCAGAAGGGAAGAAGCGCAGAUCCAGCCUUAGCGCACGAGUAGUCGCCAUCGUGGGCAUCCCCUCCCGCCGCAGCAGGAGCACCUCUCAGCUCAGCCAGACAGAAGCAGCCAACAAGAAAGCAAAAGGAUCCAGUCAGAUUCAGCGGAGUCAGGAGACAGGAAUGGCAGUGGAGUAUCCCCGAAAUGUCAUGGCCCGACAGGCCAGCCGAGAGUCCACUGACGGCAGCAUGAACAGCUACAGCUCUGAGGGCAAUCUGAUCUUCUCAGGGAUGAGGUUAGGGGCCGACAGCCAGUUCAGUGACUUCUUAGAUGGUCUUGGUCCUGCUCAGUUGGUGGGUAGACAAACUCUUGCCACACCUGCUAUGGGAGAUGUUCAGAUUGGACUGAUGGAUAAGAAAGGGCAGCUUGAGGUGGAGGUUAUCAGGGCCCGUGGUCUUACACCUAAACCAGGUUCCAAAUCGCUGCCGGCUCCCUACGUCAAGGUCUAUUUGCUGGAGAAUGGAGCGUGCAAAGCCAAAAAGAAAACCAAGAUUGCACGGAAAACGCUUGAUCCUUUGUAUCAGCAAUCGCUGUUGUUUGAGGAAAGUCCGCAGGGUAAAGUUCUCCAGGUAAUAGUCUGGGGAGAUUAUGGCCGCAUGGACCACAAAUGCUUCAUGGGAGUUGCACAGAUUUUUCUAGAGGAGCUGGAUCUUUCUAGCACAGUUAUUGGCUGGUACAAACUGUUUCCCCCGUCAUCAUUAGUUGACCCGACUUUAGCUCCACUCACCCGUCGCGCUUCCCAAACAUCACUGGACUCUUCAGGGCCACCGGGCACCAGGUCCUAAUGAACGGACAGGAGCUUGACGCCAAAAUACAAACAAACUCAAAACCACGGUGACCCCAGUGGACCAAGAGACCUGAGGCAACAACAAUCAGAACCGGAGCGGCAGACGGACAGAACCACGAUCAAAGCUUUGCUGAAGCCUGACAAUCACUUCUCUCUUUUACUUUUGAUCUUUGGGUUGUAGAGAUUUCCUUUGAUCCACUCUGCUCCUUUACUGCAUGUUUCGUUGCUGAUUUGACCCAAAUCAACAGAGAGGAACAGGACAGGAAGAAGUGGUGCCCCGUAGCCUAGAUCGCUGUGGUCAGUCAGAGUGUGGGUUUUCUCAGAGCGAGAGGACAGCACUGCCCCUCCUCGAAUAAUAUUGCACUUACAGGAAGCUCGAGGAUUUAAGGUGGAGAUUUAGUCUUCUCAGAGAGUCUCCUCUCUGCAUCACGGAUGCUGCGUCCCGAGCCCCGCCGUGUUUGGCACCAACUCAGAUUGUGUGUGUGUGAGUGUGUUUGUGUGCGGACGAAUGAAUGAAUGAGCGAGUGUUUGCGAAAGCAGGGGCGCCUGAGAACCUUUUAAGUCUGUUUACAGCAGUCACCAGCGACUGCUUUGCCUUUUCACGUUACUGUUGAUUUGGUAAAUAGGCACACUUUGUAGAAUGUGAAAACAUGCUUCAUGUUUUCUGAUGUUUGUGUCAUUCGAGCUUCACGGAAGACACAAAAAAACACUUGUAUUCGAUUCACAGAGACUGUAAGAAGCUGCCACUAUCAUUUCGGUUCACUAACAUCACAGAUCGCAUCUUUAGCAUUUUUAAUUCUAUUCCGUUUGGUAAAGGACUUGUACAUACCGAUAUUAGGAUUUCUACCCGACUAGAGUUUACAUUAUUUUAAUGCAAGCACAAUGCUUGAUUUUUGAACAAAAAAAGAUAAUAAAAAGAAAAGGAGAUUGAUGAUAGUAACAAUAAAUAAUAAUAAAAAAAUGACAGAGAACGAGAGGCCAAAAUCGUAAGCUUCCUAUUUUUAGCUGUUUGUCAUGGAUUUAGUUUAUUUUAAAACUCCCCCUGAGCAUUUUGAAUGUGACAGUGAGACGUGGUCUCCGCUUAAGACCACACGACGCCAACAAGGGGAACAGCAUGAAUCGGGAACUGUUCCAAGUUGCAUGCACAUUUUGUAAAACAAGACAGAUGAGAAAAAAAAGAGACUACAAUAAGUGUGUGUUAGUUCCACAAAACUGUAGGCCAGCUUGUAUGUUGCAUGUACUUGUACAGUUUGCUUGUACUUGAUAUAAAUAGAUUAUCAAAUAAAAACGAAGCCAUUCAUUCCAUGUGUGGGCAUUUGGCCAGGUUCAGCCAUACACACAGGCCUUAUUUUGGGGCUGAAUGUCGAUAAGAAUUUUUCUAAUUCCUUUAUUUUCUUUUCUUUUGAAACCCUGGAUGGAUAAAUAAGUGCUGUACUGUAGAACCGAGCAAACACAAGGCCCUGUUUUCUUGAAGAUGUUGGUGUUCACUGUAGUCUGUACUACCGUGGCCUAAAACUAAGGUAGACAACCUGUAUAAAAAAUAAAAAUAUAUAUAUCUAGAGCUAUCUGUAUAUGGAGUAUAAAAUCACAAUGACUUAGAGAUAUAUCGAUAUUGAGAUGGAGUGUGUCAAGUAAACAUCACUUACGUACAUGCAUAUAUUGUAAAUAUGAGUCUGCAGAGAGGUUUACUUAUAUUUACAAAGCGGCCCCAUCUAGUGCUCUGUCUCUUGGUUCUGCUGAGCGGAAGAAGGGACACCUCAAAAGUUUUAUUUUAGUGAUGCCCAAACCCCGUCGAAUGAAAUUUGGACCUCUACCGACCGGUUGCUUUGUCAUAAACGCUCACGAAUCCUCGUUUCAAAUGAGAAGUUUACUUUCUAUGCCUGCUUACGGCAGACUUAUUUACUUUGUCAGUAUUAUUCAAGGAUACUGAUUGUUUACAGUUCAUGUGUUCCACUGAAACAAAAUUGAAAGUAUUCACUGCAACAUUUCUUGUUUGUACAGCAGAUGUGGCUCAGAUAAUGUGUAUGUUUUAUAAUCAAGAGUUCAUUUUUAUUAUUUACAAAUAAAAGACUGUGUGGAAGAA